This 254-nucleotide ribosomal RNA is filed under the name uncultured bacterium. RNAcentral describes it as "partial 16S ribosomal RNA". It matches the Rfam family "Bacterial small subunit ribosomal RNA", at positions 524 to 776 of the family's 1533-position model. The record is from RNAcentral.
UACGUAGGGGGCGAGCGUUGUCCGGAUUCAUUGGGCGUAAAGCGCUUUAAGGCGGUUCGCUAAGUCGGGUGUGAAACCUCCAGGCUCAACCUGGAGACGCCACUCGAUACUGGCGUGACUAGAGUUCGGUAGGGGACCACGGAAUUCCUGGUGUAGCGGUGAAAUGCGCAGAUAUCAGGAGGAACACCAGUGGCGAAGGCGGCAUCCUGGACCGACAUUGACGCUGAACGGCGAAAGCUAGGGGAGCAAACGGG